Molecule: long non-coding RNA, 5232 nt
Organism: Apis mellifera (honey bee)
Lineage: Eukaryota; Metazoa; Arthropoda; Insecta; Hymenoptera; Apidae
Exons: 2
Source: RefSeq, a predicted model, not a curated record
ACUCUUCCUUCCUUUUUGCGAAGAAAUAUCAAAAAUUAUACAAUUAUGAAAUUAUACGUAAAUCCAUAUAAUCCACAUAAACGAUCAGAAGCGCAUUUAGAAACUUUCUUCUUUUCUUUUUAAAGAAAGAUUUAAUUCAAUAAUUGAACCAAGAUCCCGUUUUCGAUGAUUGAAAAAAAAUCUUGAAAUCGAUCGAUAAACUGUCGAAAUAUAUUCUGCGCUACUCGAAACUCUUCCUUCCUUGCGAAAGCAUAUUAAAAAUUAUACAUAUCGUUUGUAUAAAUCCAUAUAAUCCAACCGAGGGACGUGUUUAGAAGCUUUCUUCUUUUCUCUUUAAAGAAAGAUUCAAUUCAAUAAUUGAAACAAGAUUUCUUUCGACGAUUAAAAAAAAAUCUUGAAAUCGAUCGACAAACUGUCGAAAUAUACUCUGCGCUACUCAAAACUCUUCCUUCCUUGCGAAGGCAUAUUAAAAAUUAUACAUAUCGUUUGUAUAAAUCCAUAUAAUCCAACCGUGAGCGCGUUUAGAAGCUUCCUUCUUUUUUUUUUCGAAAAAAGAUCCGGAAGGAAGGAUCCAAUCCAAUAAUCGAACCAAGAUUUCGACGAAAAUUGAAAAAAAAAAAAUUGCGGAGGGAAUCUUGAAAUCGGCCGACACCCAAACUGUCGAAAUAUACUAGCUCUGCCGGACGCGAUAUUACUCGCGAUAUAUAGACGCGCAGAUAUAGGAUGGGAUGGAAUCGAGCCGCCGAAAAUUCACCGAUGCCCGCGUUCCGUCCAACGCGGUACACAGGAGCCGAAGCACCUGAUCCGUAUCAUGCAAUUACGGUGGAUGCAGUUUCGCUGUUGACUCGGGCUCCCUCUAUUAUUUGCCGGGGACCGGUCGCCGGGAGAGAGAGGGGAGGAAUUAAUUCGUUGUUAAAUACUACUUACAUUGUUAUUGACUCUAUAAUUGAUCGAUUAACGGCGAGCACGUUCAUCUACUGACGAACGAAGUGGAGAGACGCGUGGAAAUAAUUAUUAUUUGCCGCUCGUAUCGAGAUAUUCUCGUCCGAUGAUUAUUCGGCACGGACGGUAUAUUUUUGUUAAUCAAUGCGGCCGUACAUGUAUAUCGGGCGCGAUCCGAGUGCAAAAUGUUAAUUGGGUUGGCUUGGUAAUUAGCAAAAUCUGUAUACAUAUACAUAGAUAUAGAUAUUGUAUCGAAUAAAAAAAUUAUCGCAUAAUUGUUCGCGAAUUAUUUGCCCACCGUAUUUUCGCGUGUCGAUAUUAUGUAACAUUGGUGUAUAUCCAUUCGAACGGAUGGUCGUUGAAAUCGCGUUUUUAAUAAACGGGAUCAUUGUAGAGAGCUGAGAGAAAAUCUAUUGGAAAUUUCAAAGAGGGUUAUUAUAAGAGGAAUCGUGACGUAUCGUGAGGAAGGCUGGGGCCAGGCAAAAAGCCGAGGCACGUUCCCCGAGAUAUCGAUCGGGCGAACCAACCGCCGCGAGUAUUCCUUUGAGAACCGAUGCCACGAAAUAGACGAGGCUAAGUGGGCGAGAGAUAAAUUGAGAAUAAUACCCUCCCCACCCCUCCCGUUCCACCUUGUCGCCACGCGCCGCGUUUUUUCGCCAGAGAUCGCCACCUUCCUCGACCAAUUCCCCCACUCCUAAACAACUGUGCUCAACCCGAUUAUCCCACUCUCUACACUUUUCACUGGAUGGAAUCGCAUGGAAAAUUCAACGUAUCCUUUCUCUCUGUUUCUCUCUCUUUCUCCAGCGCAAUGGCAAUUUCUUUUUUUUUUCCGUCCAAGAGAGGAUAGUCCCUUCGGGGAACGAUUUAUCUUUAAUCAAGUUCCUAUUUACCAUCGAUCGCGAAUUACCGUUCCGUUUGUUUUACCCGCUCAUUUGUCCACUUCGAACCGCGGAUCAUUGGCGAAGAAGCAAGAAGAGAGUUCGCCCGAUCGAUUUUCACGUUUCUUCGUUCUUCGGUGAAGAAGGAUAUAUUCGUUUCGCGAAAAAAAUGGUAUAAAAAUUCAUCCUCUCUCCGCGGUGUAAACGUGUGUUUUAAUAUUCGAUCGAGGAUAUAUUUCGAGCAUUUCGUAACGCGGUCGUAAAUCGCGAACGAGAGGAGGGGGGAAGGGAACGAACAAUAGGAUCCCAGAGGAUCCGAUAAAGAGUCCGAAAACUGUGCAUAAAAAUUCACCCGCAAAAUUUAUCGAUAUUGGCCCCGGGACGAGUUCGACUCUUUCCGCAAAAAGUGUCCGCAAUCGCGCGUCUAGCUCGGUGAGCGUGUGAUAAAACUUUUUAAAAGAUUGUAAAGAGAAAGAGAGAGAGAGAGAGAAUAUAAUAAAGAUAAAAAAAAAAGGAAAGGAAAACUUUCUUCUCCUUUAAAUUACGAUCCCCCUUGAUUGUAUUUUCUCUGUUCGAGGAAGAAGAAAAAAAAAAGAAAGAAAUAAAGAGAGAUAUUCGGCGAGGUGGAUGACGACGAUCGGAGUUUCAUUCCCCACGUCAGAAUGGGGAACGUUCGUUUGAUAGAUUUCUGUGGCGUGCAGGGAGCAUCAAUCUAGGAGCAGGUGGCCAAACUAUUCGCCAACAGAUUAGCAAAAAUUUAUAUCGCUCGAUGCUAUUGUUUUAUCUUCCAUUGGCGGGGAUUUGACGCUCUGAACCGGCGGAAUAGUAUUUUUCUUCGUUAUUUUCGAAAAAAACGGGUGCGCGCGUUUUUCUCUCUCCCUCUCUCGCAUCUCCCUGCCCCCGCCCCACUCUAACCGCAAACAUACAGAGCAGCGCCAUUGGGAAGAUAUUUAUUCAUGAAUCCGAAAUUACACUGUAGCCGCGAUGCUUCCGUUUCGCACGAUCGGUUGAAAACUACCGUCGCGAUUCAGCGAAAGUUACAUACUCGGUUACGGCCCCUCGUAUUUCACCAUUUUUUUCCGGCCGAUUCUUUUCCUUUUUUCCCUUCUGUUUCUCUCUCCUUUUUUCACAACUCUCUUUCCGUCCCCCGAGAUGCAAAUAUUAAGGUUAUUCGAAUUGCAAAACGCGGAAUUGUGCGUACAAACAAAGAGAGAGAGAGAGGAAAAAAGGAAAACAAACAAACAGAAAAAAAGAAAAGAUUUCACAAAGAUCGAACGCGAUUCGAAAAACCACGCUGCCGCCCGUUUAUCGUUUCCGUCGUUUAUUUUCGAAACGCGUCAUUUUGCCACUGUUUCGUCGAAUGUAAACGACAGGAGAAACUGAGAGGAGAAAUACGCUCUCGAAUACGCAACGUGCACGCGAUAUGGUACGCAAUAAAGUUUAUAAAUAGGAUCGAUGACGCGAAUAUAUUUGUCGCGUGCGAAAAUAAUUUUUUGAUCCGGCAACGAUGUAAGCGACGUAUUAGGUUAUAGGCGUACGAGGCGUUGCCAAGUUUAGAAUACGAGACGACGAUCAACCGCCACUCGGUUGAAGUCUACUUAACCUGUGUAUAUAUAUUUUGCUCGGUGUAUCUUCGCGUUGUGCUUGUACGUCUUCUUUUUUUCUUUUCGAAAGCGAACGAAUUUAGAAUAUUAUUCCUGCGAAAGUAAUUUUUUGAUCCGGCAAACGACGUAAACGUUAGUGUUGUACCACACCAAGUUUUUAGAAUAUAAAAUUACAAUCAAGUGCGAUUCGUGAAACUCUAUUCAACCUGUAUAUUUUGCUUGGCGUAUUUUCGCGUCCCCCUCUUAUAUUUCUUUUUUCUGUAUUAUUUAACUGUUUUUUUUCUAAAGUGAACGAAUUCCUGUAUAUUAUUCCUGUACGAGUAUCGAAAUAUUAGCUUUCGAAGAAGAUUCUAUCGACUUUUUCGAUGGAGAGGUUAUGUAUUAUAAACCCGAUGCCCCGUAUUUUGAUCGAAUAAAGAUUAUAGUUUCGAAAACGUAUCGUUUCUCUCCCGAUCAACGAGAAACGGGCAAUUUCACGAGUGACACGAUCUAAUAUAAGAUAUUAAAAAAAAAAAAAAAAGAAAGAAAAAAAAGAAAUUCAUCGAUAGACGGCAAAUGAAAUAUCCAUUCUCCACAAAGAGUUUAAUCUACGUACAAAGAAUAAUAAUUUGAAGAAUUGAAGACAAUCACACGGAUCCGCAUUUACACGAUGUUCAUUUGGCGUGCGUGAACAGGUAGUCGAUAAUAAUACCGGCAGAGGGCGCUGCGAGCGUUCUCGAAGCAUAAAUUGACGGGGCAGCGCGACAGUCGGUUGAUACACCGCCGUAUUAUCGCUGGCCUAACAAUAUUUUUCGAUCGCGUUUUGCCCGCAUCGAGUCGCUUGCUCAGCUAGCGCCACCACAGCCAUGUAUCAAUUAUACGAACUUGCAUCUCGCGCACGAAUAAAUAGAAACACCGUGUGGCCAUGUGUGUUGGUGGCGAUAGCGGUGGUGGUAGUGGUGACAGAGCGCGCGACGAUCGCUACUUCGCCCAGCCCCCUUUCACGGAGAGAUUCGGAUGGAUUGGAUGGGUCGUGCGAUAAAACGACCUCACCGGGACCAUUCCGCGAUAGAUUGACCAAUAUGAUGGAUCGACCGCUCCGUUAUAUCCCGCUCCUCGGCCAUCCACUGGCCGAAUCCGAGCCACUACCAUCACGGAUUAGGAUUUCCAUCGAAAAGCCUCGAAAUUUUCACUUCCUUCCUUCCUUCCUUCCUCUCUUCUUCACGCGUGUUAAUAGCGUAAUAAAUUAAAUUCAUAUAGGUAUUAGUGUAUUUUUAGCACUGAAACGAGACGAAAUCUUGCGUGGCAUGCGAUACGAAAAUAUAUAUAUAUAUAUGUAUGUAUAUUUAUAUAUUCGGAGAAUGGUUGAUUUGUGCAACGUUUGUGAAGAUAUGAGAGGGGAGAGGGAAGAGAAACGGUUGAAUUUUUAGGGAUGUUUCAACUUGGACUUCGCCCAAUUACUUUGAAUACUUUUAACACGGGAUAAUUUUCGAAGCAACAGGUAUCCACGCGAGAAGUCAUAAUUUUGAUCGAACAAAGCACGGGUCGGAACAACGUGAAUGCACAAUAACGUACUUAUUUACGUUUUAUUUACGCGGCGAAAUAAUAGAAAUAGGAAUUUAACGAAUCGACAUUGUUCGACUACGAUCUUUUCGAAUCGAUCUCCACCGCGAGAUCCAAGCGAGGCAAAAAAAAAAAAGAAAAGAGAGAAAUUUCGAAAUCGCUUCUUGGCGAGCGUUUGAAUAAUUUCGACAAAGUCGACGAUCCGUAAUUAAACGAUGAAGCCUUUGUCGAGAGAAUAAACGGAAAUAUAUUAUUUUAAAAAAAAA